GACGAACGCUGGCGGCGUGCUUAACACAUGCAAGUCGAACGGAAAGGCCCUGCUUUUGUGGGGUGCUCGAGUGGCGAACGGGUGAGUAACACGUGAGUAACCUGCCCUUGACUUUGGGAUAACUUCAGGAAACUGGGGCUAAUACCGGAUAGGAGCUCCUGCUGCAUGGUGGGGGUUGGAAAGUUUCGGCGGUUGGGGAUGGACUCGCGGCUUAUCAGCUUGUUGGUGGGGUAGUGGCUUACCAAGGCUUUGACGGGUAGCCGGCCUGAGAGGGUGACCGGCCACAUUGGGACUGAGAUACGGCCCAGACUCCUACGGGAGGCAGCAGUGGGGAAUAUUGCACAAUGGGCGGAAGCCUGAUGCAGCAACGCCGCGUGCGGGAUGACGGCCUUCGGGUUGUAAACCGCUUUCGCCUGUGACGAAGCGUGAGUGACGGUAAUGGGUAAAGAAGCACCGGCUAACUACGUGCCAGCAGCCGCGGUGAUACGUAGGGUGCGAGCGUUGUCCGGAUUUAUUGGGCGUAAAGGGCUCGUAGGUGGUUGAUCGCGUCGGAAGUGUAAUCUUGGGGCUUAACCCUGAGCGUGCUUUCGAUACGGGUUGACUUGAGGAAGGUAGGGGAGAAUGGAAUUCCUGGUGGAGCGGUGGAAUGCGCAGAUAUCAGGAGGAACACCAGUGGCGAAGGCGGUUCUCUGGGCCUUUCCUGACGCUGAGGAGCGAAAGCGUGGGGAGCGAACAGGCUUAGAUACCCUGGUAGUCCACGCUGUAAACGGUGGGUACUAGGUGUGGGGUCCAUUCCACGGGUUCCGUGCCGUAGCUAACGCUUUAAGUACCCCGCCUGGGGAGUACGGCCGCAAGGCUAAAACUCAAAGGAGUUGACGGGGCCCCGCACAAGCGGCGGAGCAUGCGGAUUAAUUCGAUGCAACGCGUAGAACCUUACCUGGGUUUGACAUGGAUCGGGAGUGCUCAGAGAUGGGUGUGCCUCUUUUGGGGUCGGUUCACAGGUGGUGCAUGCCUGUCGUCAGCUCGUGUCGUGAGAUGUUGGGUUAAGUCCCGCAACGAGCGCAACCCUUGUUCACUGUUGCCAGCACGUUAUGGUGGGGACUCAGUGGAGACCGCCGGGGUCAACUCGGAGGAAGGUGGGGAUGACGUCAAGUCAUCAUGCCCCUUAUGUCCAGGGCUUCACGCAUGCUACAAUGGCUGGUACAGAGAGUGGCGAGCCUGUGAGGGUGAGCGAAUCUCGGAAAGCCGGUCUCAGUUCGGAUUGGGGUCUGCAACUCGACCUCAUGAAGUCGGAGUCGCUAGUAAUCGCAGAUCAGCAACGCUGCGGUGAAUACGUUCCCGGGGCU
Molecule: ribosomal RNA, 1346 nt
Filed under: uncultured bacterium
Lineage: Bacteria
Description: partial 16S ribosomal RNA
Rfam family: Bacterial small subunit ribosomal RNA
Source: RNAcentral